Molecule: ribosomal RNA, 845 nt
Filed under: uncultured crenarchaeote
Lineage: Archaea; Thermoproteati; Thermoproteota
Description: bacterial SSU rRNA
Rfam family: Archaeal small subunit ribosomal RNA
Source: RNAcentral
ACAAGGCAUACGGCUCAGUAACGCGUAGUCAACCUAACCUAUGGACGGGAAUAACCUCGGGAAACUGAGAAUAAUGCCCGAUAGAACAUUAUGCCUGGAAUGGUUUAUGUUCCAAAUGAUUUAUCGCCGUAGGAUGGGACUGCGGCCUAUCAGUUUGUUGGUGAGGUAAUGGCCCACCAAGACUAUUACAGGUACGGGCUCUGAGAGGAGUAGCCCGGAGAUGGGUACUGAGACACGGACCCAGGCCCUAUGGGGCGCAGCAGGCGAGAAAACUUUGCAAUGUGCGAAAGCACGACAAGGUUAAUCCGAGUGGUUUCUGCUAAAGAAACCUUUUGUCAGUCCUAGAAACACUGAUGAAUAAGGGGUGGGCAAGUUCUGGUGUCAGCCGCCGCGGUAAAACCAGCACCUCAAGUGGUCAGGAUGAUUAUUGGGCCUAAAGCAUCCGUAGCCGGCUCUGUAAGUUUUCGGUUAAAUCUGUACGCUCAACGUACAGGCUGCCGGGAAUACUGCAGAGCUAGGGAGUGGGAGAGGUAGACGGUACUCGGUAGGAAGGGGUAAAAUCCUUUGAUCUAUUGAUGACCACCUGUGGCGAGGGCGGUCUACCAGAACACGUCCGACGGUGAGGGAUGAAAGCUGGGGGAGCAAACCGGAUUAGAUACCCGGGUAGUCCCAGCUGUAAACUAUGCAAACUCAGUGAUGCAUUGGCUUGUGGCCAAUGCAGUGCUGCAGGGAAGCCGUUAAGUUUGCCGCCUGGGAAGUACGUACGCAAGUAUGAAACUUAAAGGAAUUGGCGGGGGAGCACCACAAGGGGUGAAGCCUGCGGUUCAAUUGGAGUCAACGCCGGA